GCGCAUGCGCCCUGGAAGGGUCUCGCGGGCGCUGACCGGUCUUCCCUGCGUCCCGUCUGUGAACGUCGCCGCCGCCAGCCCUCCGCGGCCCCCUGCCCGGAAGUCUCGGAGAGCAGAGCUGCGGUCGAAACCUAACUGUAAGAAGCCGAGAGUGUCGGAGAAGCCCGGCCGUGGCCCGGGACGGACUCGCUUCUUCAUCUUCAAGACUCGCAAGCGCUGCGGAGAGAGAAAGACUGGUAGGCAGUGACCAGCGGGGCGGCUCUUAGGCCGAGCUCCCGGUUUCUCGGGACUGGGGACUCGGACACUUCGCUCCCUUCUGUCUGGACGCUGCCUCCGGGAUGCUGGCACCGGGCCCUCCACCGUGUCCCGGGGCUGUGGACAGGACGCCUAGGCGGCUGGAGGCUGCGGAGUUUUACAGGACAGGAGCCGGGACGUAGUGUGUUAGGAGUGUGGCCUUUGACGUCAGCGCUGGGGCGAAGUCACAUCCCAGCCCUGUGACCUCUUGAAGCGUGAGUUGCCCCGUUGGUAAAGCUGGGUGGGUGGUUCCAGAUUCAGCGUCUCUUCCAGCUUGACGCAGAACUUGGGAGAUGAAUGACCCGGCGUGUAAGAUGCACCCCUGGGAUCGACAGCAGCAGCUCCCGCGGCUUCAGUUGCACACCAUCUACAGAUAAUACUUCUCCAGAUCGCGUGGUAGGAAGACCUGGGCCGCAGAAGUUAAGCGGUAUUCGGUUUAUCAUCAGCCCUAGGUUGUUUUUUUUUUUCCCCCGUUUUAGAGUAAGUUCCUACCUGCACUAAAAGUAGGACGCGCCUACCGCCAUCCUCAUUUGUAGAACUGCAGGGGAAAAAAUUGUUACUUAUAAGUUCUGUACAGCCCUGUCCCUUUCUAGUCAAGUACCUGUUGGAUAUUUCUACUUGUUUUCUCAAACUUCUUUUUAUCUUGACUUUAUACAGAAUACUGAUUGUGGAGUUUUUUUAAAUGUACAGAAGCUUACCAAAAAGCACAAGUUACUGUUUUUCCCUCAGACCCACUCCUCACAGGUAACCCCUGUUAAUAAGUUUCUUGGAUACCUUAAAAUGCUUAACAAAUAUUUUCUGAAUGCAUAAAUGUCCUUCAAUGAAUUUUCUUUGCCUGUGCAAUCACAUGUGUAUGUAAGUUGCCUUUUCUCUUUAACAACAUACUUAAACCUUCUGUCAUUUCACAGCUGCGGGGUACUGGCACUCCAUCAUAUGGUGGUAUUUAACCACUCUGCUGUUGAUAGGCAUUCAUGUUUAUAAUUUCUUGUUAUUAUAAACAGUGUUGCAGGGAAGAUCCUUGAACAGCACAUGGAGUGUCUGACUCAAACUUUGAGUUUUUUCUCCAGGAGCUGAGAAUCAGCCUGGUGAUGACAAAAGAACAUGGACUUGGGAUCCAAAGACUCAAGCACACAUGCCCAAGGCAGCCUCCUGAUAUCAGGGCUGUAGGAUACUUUGAAGAAGUAGAACAGAAUUGGCCAUUAUGAAGACCAGACUCCUGACUUGCCUGCCUUCUGGAAAGCAAUAGGCAUUAAUUCCUUCAUUUAUUCAAGUAGCCAUUUAAUGAGAACUCACUAUUUAUUAUGUGCCACAGACUAUAGGAUAGAGCUUUUCCCAUCCAGGAGCUUUCAAUCUCAUUAGAGAUAAGACACACUCAUGAGAAAUAAAAGAUACAAGACAAUACAAGAGAGAAAAUAGCUGUCAAGCAGCCUAGACUUCAGAGGAGAGCUAUCACUUUCAGCUAGAAUGAUGGGGAAAGGAUUUCAUCAUAAAGACUUCAUGAUGGAAUUGGAAUUUAGAGAGCUGUGAAUGGUGGGUGUAUUUAGAUAGCUGCUGUCACAGCCGUAAGGAUCAUCUAUUUUAGCUUUGAGGGAGAAUCCCCUGCAGGCCAGGAUGUGGGCCUGGCUCCCAAAAAUGAAACUGUGAGCACAUUUUCCUCUAGAAACAUUGUUUUAAAUUAUCUAAACUACAAUUCAAUGACUGGAGCUAUGUUAUGGUAGCUAGAUUAUAAAGUCUAUAUUUAGAAAUAGACAUAAACUUUUGUGAUCUGAGGUAAGUAGCAGUUAUGUGCCACUGAUGGGAAACUUUGUUCCACUGUUCUGAACAGCCAGCUUACAGAUGAGCUUUGCAGUACCACCUGUUCAUACAUUAGAAACUACAAUAGGGAAGCAUUGAAAGUUCUUGAGCAGAGGAGCAAUAUCAAAAUCUUUGGGGAAAGUUAUCUGGUGCAAGCAUGCAGGACGGAUUUCAGCUGCAGAGCUUUAAAGGUUACUGCCGAAGCCCAGGUGUGAGGUAACAGCAGGAAGGGACAGAUGCAAAA
Delphinapterus leucas (beluga whale) is the source of this 2332-nucleotide non-coding RNA. The record is from RefSeq and is a predicted model, not a curated record. Lineage: Eukaryota; Metazoa; Chordata; Mammalia; Artiodactyla; Monodontidae.